RNAcentral lists this ribosomal RNA (253 nucleotides) under uncultured bacterium. RNAcentral's name for it is "partial 16S ribosomal RNA". It matches the Rfam family "Bacterial small subunit ribosomal RNA", at positions 524 to 776 of the family's 1533-position model. The record is from RNAcentral.
UACGUAGGUGGCAAGCGUUGUCCGGAUUUACUGGGCGUAAAGAGCGCGCAGGCGGUCGUUCAAGUCGCGUGUGAAAGCCCCCGGCUCAACUGGGGAGGGUCACGCGAUACUGAUCGACUCGAAGGCAGGAGAGGGUAGUGGAAUUCCCGGUGUAGUGGUGAAAUUCGUAGAUAUUCGCAAGAACACCAGUGGCGAAGGCGGCUCACUGGCCCGAUACUGACGCUGAGGCACGAAAGCGUGGGGAGCAAACAGG